This is a long non-coding RNA of Polyodon spathula (Mississippi paddlefish), 1467 nucleotides long. RefSeq lists it as uncharacterized. The transcript is spliced from 3 exons. The record is from RefSeq and is a predicted model, not a curated record. NCBI's taxonomy places the organism in Eukaryota, Metazoa, Chordata, Actinopteri, Acipenseriformes, Polyodontidae.
ACUGCCUCUGAUUUUAGAUUGAGACAAAGAAAACAUCAUUUUGAUCUUUUAUUCAAUGUUACAUAAUCAAAGAAACUAGAAAAGGAUAUCUCAAAAGUCUACCGGAAGCCACAGUAGUAGUACAUGUAUUGAAAUGUCAAAUGCUUCAGUUUUUGCUAGUUUUUUUGUUAAGUAGAUGGAAAACUAUAAUGCAGAAUGUAAUUCAACACAUUACUCUAACCUUAUCCAGCAGGUUUCAUUCGACUUUAUGAAGCAAAAUGAGUUCAUUCUGCUGGGUGAUGCAAAACCUUUGGCCAUAGCUGUAGGCAUCAUACAGAACAAUAGAUUAUGAAAUGAUGUUGAUUAUGUUGCCCCUUUAGUCGGGGGAGCAGCACAGUGACAAGCAGUCUAUCCUAAAUGCUGAAAGGCAGCAGUCUCACCGCAAUCACAAGGGUCUUCUGUUUACAGGUCAGUUCUGAUUUAAUAUUUAAUCUGUUCAGAUCAUCCAUAUAGUCCCCAUUGAUUUCACUAACCUACAUGUAGUUUCCAGUCAUACACACUUGGUGAUUUUAAAAACUCUUCUUGUGGCUUUAAAACCAUGCUCCGGUCCUUAUCUGCUCCACCACAGGAGCUGCCCCUUGACGAGAGAAGUUUGCCUCUGAGUUGGUUGGUAACCCGACCCCUCCUCUUCUCUCUCUCUCUGUGUCAGAAGUGGCAGGGUUACUGGUUUAUUGAUCUGCAGGGGUCUUGUCUAGCUGUACGCACGCUGUCUGAAUUUGGUUCAGAGCGCAUUUCUGCCGUUCUGAAAGGGACUGGGAGAGGAGGUGUAUUUCCACAAGGAGCAGCCAGUGGGAAGGAAGUAAUGUUCAUUUCAGAUGUUCUUCUCAGCCCCCGGCUGCUUAGAGCAUGCUCAGUGAGGAGUUUUUGCCUGCGAUGCCUGUCAAGACUCUAAAUUUGAACUCAGUGACACAGACUGGAGAGAGCUGGGAGAUUUGGUGCUUUUUUUUUUUUUUUUUUUUUGCUGCUGCUCGGGGGAAGUGGACUGACUAACAGCUAUGAAUGAUACAAAGAAUGAGAAAUGGGAGUGCUGGAGUCGUGCUGGUUUGAUGUUUGUUGUGCAUUGAAGAUUGUGUGGAUAACAUAAGAAGGAACUUUUAUUGAAAAAAAGAAGAGGGCAAAACUACAGCCUUCUCAAUGGCUGGUGUCAGGCCCUGGGCAGACAACCAGGUGGAGAGGGAGCCUGGACCCCAUACUGAGGCGCUGUAUCACUCUUUCUGCUCAGUGUAAUUUAAUUACGCCCCAGGAAAGACAGCUCAGCCCCCCUUGCAUUGUGCUUAGUUGCCAUGGGAACCGCAAGCAGGAGACUAAAUUGUUCGGUAAAGAAAGAUAGAGCAGCGGAGCCCUGAACCCCAGCUUGCUGUCAGUUUGAUUCAGAAAAGGACACGUUCAAACAUCUGUCUGCAGUGUAAUCUUUGUGAGGCCAGGCUC